Molecule: ribosomal RNA, 360 nt
Filed under: uncultured bacterium
Lineage: Bacteria
Description: bacterial SSU rRNA
Rfam family: Bacterial small subunit ribosomal RNA
Source: RNAcentral
CGCGUGGGAACGUGCCCCAAAGUGAGGGAUAACGCACCGAAAGGUGUGCUAAUACCGCAUAUGGUCUUCGGAUUAAAGAAUUUAUUCGCUUUGGGAGCGGCCCGCGUCGGAUUAGGUUGUUGGUGAGGUAAUGGCUCACCAAGCCGACGAUCCGUAGCCGGUCUGAGAGGAUGACCAGCCAGACUGGAACUGAGACACGGUCCAGACUCCUACGGGAGGCAGCAGUGAGGAAUCUUCCACAAUGGGCGAAAGCCUGAUGGAGCAACGCCGCGUGCAGGAUGAAGGCCUUCGGGUUGUAAACUGCUUUUAUGAGUGAAGAAUAUGACGGUAACUCAUGAAUAAGCACCGGCUAACUACGUG